GAUGAACGCUGGCGGCGUGCCUAAUACAUGCAAGUCGAGCGAACAGACGAGGAGCUUGCUCCUCUGACGUUAGCGGCGGACGGGUGAGUAACACGUUGAUAACCUACCUAUAAUACUGGGAUAACUUCGGGAAACCGGAGCUAAUACCGGAUAAUAUAUUGAACCGCAUGGUUCAAUAGUGAAAGACGGUUUUGCUGUCACUUAUAGAUGGAUCCGCGCCGCAUUAGCUAGUUGGUAAGGUAACGGCUUACCAAGGCAACGAUGCGUAGCCGACCUGAGAGGGUGAUCGGCCACACUGGAACUGAGACACGGUCCAGACUCCUACGGGAGGCAGCAGUAGGGAAUCUUCCGCAAUGGGCGAAAGCCUGACGGAGCAACGCCGCGUGAGUGAUGAAGGUCUUCGGAUCGUAAAACUCUGUUAUUAGGGAAGAACAAAUGUGUAAGUAACUAUGCACGUCUUGACGGUACCUAAUCAGAAAGCCACGGCUAACUACGUG
This 497-nucleotide ribosomal RNA is filed under the name uncultured bacterium. Its description in RNAcentral is "partial 16S ribosomal RNA". It matches the Rfam family "Bacterial small subunit ribosomal RNA", at positions 28 to 507 of the family's 1533-position model. The record is from RNAcentral.